GGCGGGCUGGAAUCUCUCGGGGUUACAGCCUUGCUGAAUUAUUCACCCUUGUCUUUUGCGUACUUCUUGUUUCCUUGGUGGGUUCGCCCACCACGGACAAACAUAAACCUUUUGUAAUUGCAAUCAGCGUCAGUAACAAAUUAAUAAUUACAACUUUCAACAACGGAUCUCUUGGUUCUGGCAUCGAUGAAGAACGCAGCGAAAUGCGAUAAGUAGUGUGAAUUGCAGAAUUCAGUGAAUCAUCGAAUCUUUGAACGCACAUUGCGCCCUUUGGUAUUCCAAAGGGCAUGCCUGUUCGAGCGUCAUUUGUACCCUCAAGCUUUGCUUGGUGUUGGGCGUCUUGUCUCUAGCUUUGCUGGAGACUCGCCUUAAAGUAAUUGGCAGCCGGCCUUUCGGAGCGCAGCACAAGUCGCACUCUCUAUCAGCCAAGGUCUAGCAUCCAUUAAGCCUUUUUUCAACUUUUGACCUCGGAUCAGGUAGGGAUACCCGCUGAACUU
RNAcentral lists this ribosomal RNA (497 nucleotides) under Alternaria alternata. RNAcentral describes it as "eukaryotic LSU rRNA". The stretch from base 152 to 305 matches the Rfam family "5.8S ribosomal RNA". The record is from RNAcentral. Lineage: Eukaryota; Fungi; Ascomycota; Dothideomycetes; Pleosporales; Pleosporaceae.